GUCCUAGUAGCGCGUGGAUAACGCGUUGGACUUCUAAUCUAAAAGCCGUGGGAUCGAAUCUCAUCUGGGAUA
This is a non-coding RNA of Trichonephila clavipes, 72 nucleotides long. NCBI's taxonomy places the organism in Eukaryota, Metazoa, Arthropoda, Arachnida, Araneae, Nephilidae. The record is from the annotation of a GenBank genome assembly.